This 250-nucleotide unclassified non-coding RNA is filed under the name plant metagenome. RNAcentral's name for it is "partial contains small subunit ribosomal RNA, internal transcribed spacer 1, and 5.8S ribosomal RNA". The record is from RNAcentral.
GUAGGUGAACCUGCGGAGGGAUCAUUAAAACGUAUCCACGUAUAAACCUUUGUGAACUCGUUUACUAUAACCCGAAUCUCAGUGAUGGCGCGCCAGACUGUAGAAGCAAUCAGGAGUUAGCUUUUUUACAGUUAGUCAUCAUCUGUGGGUCUCCUAUUUUUUUAUUUUUAACCUUAUGUACCAUUUAAUUGUACUAACGAGUUCAGCGCUAACGCGCUUUACUUGAAAAAAUAAGAAAUUAACGCACAAC